Molecule: long non-coding RNA, 2654 nt
Organism: Asparagus officinalis (garden asparagus)
Lineage: Eukaryota; Viridiplantae; Streptophyta; Magnoliopsida; Asparagales; Asparagaceae
Exons: 10
Source: RefSeq, a predicted model, not a curated record
GCAGCCUAAAAGCCUUCUUCCUUUCAUUUCCCCCUCCGUCGGUUAAGAAUUCCCUCUAGCAGCCACCUUCAGUUACGCUUCUCCUCCGGCAACGCCAUCCCACUUUCUUAAAUCCUCAUCAUCACCGCACCCCCUCUGCCAUCAUCUCCUCACUUCUCAAAUUUUGGGCAUCGGUUAUGAUCACGAACAAACCCUAGCCGGCGACGAGUUCCAUCCUUCAUAUUUCCAGUGCUUUGUCUGCCUUCUAGGUUUGCAAUUAGCGGGGACCCGCUAGGGUUUGCGGUCCACCCAGUGGGGAUGAAUUUGUUUGUUCUACUGCUAAUGGAUGCAAGCUUGUGGAUUGGUGAAGAACCUUGCUCUGAUGGUAUACAUAACAAUAGGAUCAGCUGCGCAUCCAAUUUUGGAGUUUUUGGAGGAGUGGAGUACAGAAAACUUUGAGAUAUGCAUUUUUUAUUCCUUGUGAAUGAAAUAUCUCCAGCUGUUAUUCCUCAAGCAACUAAGAUCUUUGUUAAUGGUUGCUGGAUUGGCGUUCACAGAAAUACUGAACUCCUGGUGAAGACUUUGAGACAAUUAAGGAGACAGAUUUUAAGCAUCAGGAAGGAUCACGAAGCCACGACUAACCCAGGGCCGGUCACGUGCGCUGCAUGGAUUCGGAGGCCAGAGAACCACCUUCUGGUGAUCUACAGGAGGUCGAAGAAUUUCACAUCUCCGUUCAUGAUCGAGAUCUUUUCUUUCAAUGCCAAGACCUCAAUCUCCGAUGAUCCCAUGGUUUUUUUCUCAUUUGUCGCUUGAUUUUUUGUUUUGCAAUUAGCGGGGACCCGUUAGGGUUUGCGGUCCAUCCCAUUGGGGAUGAAUUUGUUUGUCCUACUGCUAAUGGAUGCAAGUGAGUAUUGAAUUUACUUUAAAUGAUGAAAUUUCGUGUGUUAAUUUAUUGAAAUUGAAGUGGUUUUGGUUUUGGUACAACAAUUUGGGGGUUUAGGGUUUCUGGGUGUAGGAAAGUAGAUAUCUCAGUAGUAGACAGUGGAAGGCUGUGAAGUUUUCUGCAUGCUGAACUUAAAGUGAGGUUUGACAUAUGAAACUAAGCUGGCUUGUAAAAGUGGAAGUUUGGAUAUGUAUGGUAGAAAUACAAGCAGAAGAACCCAUGACUUCAAAGUAGAUUGAAACUUUUAUUGGCAAGUUAAAUAUUUUAGAAGUUCCUUCUGUUUUUCCCCUAUAACUUUAAAUUUAAAAUCACUGUAUAGAUAUCAAUAUUCUUUUUAGCUGGCACUAGCAGAAAUGUUUCUCUUUACUGAUAAACUGAAGCUAUACAAGUCUUUCAGCAUCCCCAUGUAUCUAAAUACAUAUUCAGAGAAUACUUGGCUUAUUACUUUUAAAAUGCAUAUGAACUAUUUUUUUGUGAUCUCGACUGCACGCAAACUUUUGUUGAUAAGUCAUUUGCAAGAAGGGAUUCAGCACAUGGAUAUAUCCUCUCAGAUUCUAUUCAACAGGGCAAUGACACACCUUAGUUUAUGUCCUUUGAGGACGGGUCUUAUUGCAGAAGCGCAUGGGUACCUGUCUGAACUUUAUACAUGUGGUAGGGUAAAGAAGCUACUUGCGCAAGGUGUAUCUCAAAAUUGGAUUCAUGAAAAAACUCCUGAGCAGGUACGUGCCACAUUUAUUGCUAAUUUUUUCCUUCACUCAAGCUAAUAUAACUGAUUUAUUAUAUUAACGUCUCUUCCUUAGUAAUUAUCCUUUGCAUAUCAUUUUAAAUCUAUCAUAUUGAACUGAAUGAGUUUUUCUUCAGCUUACAUUUAUCCAUCAAUUAUUUGAAUCUAAAUACAUAUUCAGAGAAUACUUGACUUUAUUACUUUUAAAAUGCAUAUUAACUAUUUUUUGUGAUCUUGACUGCACGCAAACUUUUGUUGAUGAGUCAUUUUCCAAAAGGGAUUCAAGUUAUGGACAUAUCCUCUCAGAUUCUAUUCAACAUGGCAAUGACACAACUUAGUUUAUGUGCCUUGAGGACGGGUCUUAUUGCAUAAGCGCAUGGGUGCCUGUCUGAACUUUAUACAGGUGGUAGGGUGAAGAAGCUACUUGCGCAAGGUGUAUCUCAAAAUCGGUAUCAUGAAAAAACUCCUGAGCAGAGAGAAUAAGAACUUGACUAGGACUGCGAGGUAUGUAAGCAUGAACAUCCACCUUGGUAUAUAACAAAGCAGGAGGGAUGAUCUGGAAUCUCUUGGGUUUGUUCUCACAAAUUUUUUACGAGAAAGUCUUCCCUGGCAAGGUCUAAAACUUGGAACAAAGAAAUAGAAAUAUAAAAAAAUUAGUGAAAGAAAAGUUACCAUCUCAAUAGAGAAGGGAGAACAAGUGGUUGCUUAGCAGAGCCUUCUCGUCACCGUGCAUCGAGACAAGCCGUAAAUGCAGGCAACUUACUAAAAAUAAAUCGCGUAGCAAAUGAUUCAAAAGAAGCUUUGAUCUCAAUCUACGGUAAGCCUAAGGUUGCUUCACUAUAAUUAUUGUGUAACUGCGUGGAAGCAACUACGCUGAUCACUGAGACAAAGUACUUUGGAGGAUAACAGGACAAUUAAGUUUUUAUAUGGUUUCUGCUAAGGAGAUGAUAUGUUGUUCAAUAUCUUUUUAUUCAUAACAUGUCACAGGAAAAUAUCAAUUAAAGCUCA